CCGAACUGUCGACACGAGUUGUUGCUGGUCCUCAAACGGGGGCAUGUGCACACUCUGUUUGCAUAUCCACUCACACCUGUGCACCCUCCAUAGUUCUAUAGCCCUGGGGGCCUUAAACCCCCAGCUGUGGUCCUAUGUAUUUACACAUACACUGUAAUAAAGUCUUAUGGAAUGUAUGCCGCGUUUAACGCAAUACAAUA
RNAcentral lists this unclassified non-coding RNA (200 nucleotides) under uncultured Tomentella. RNAcentral describes it as "sequence contains ITS1". The record is from RNAcentral. Lineage: Eukaryota; Fungi; Basidiomycota; Agaricomycetes; Thelephorales; Thelephoraceae.